UACGUAGGCAGCGAGCGUUGUUCGGAGUUACUGGGCGUAAAGAGUGCGUAGGCGGUUUUCUAAGUUUGGUGUGAAAUCUCCCGGCUUAACUGGGAGGGUGCGCCGAAAACUGGAAGGCUUGAGUAUGGGAGAGGUAAGCGGAAUUCCUGGUGUAGCGGUGAAAUGCGUAGAUAUCAGGAGGAACACCUGCGGUGUAGACGGCUUACUGGACCAUAACUGACGCUGAGGCACGAAAGCGUGGGGAUCGAACAGG
This 253-nucleotide ribosomal RNA is filed under the name uncultured bacterium. Its description in RNAcentral is "partial 16S ribosomal RNA". It matches the Rfam family "Bacterial small subunit ribosomal RNA", at positions 524 to 776 of the family's 1533-position model. The record is from RNAcentral.